RNAcentral lists this ribosomal RNA (407 nucleotides) under uncultured bacterium. RNAcentral's name for it is "partial 16S ribosomal RNA". It matches the Rfam family "Bacterial small subunit ribosomal RNA", at positions 30 to 526 of the family's 1533-position model. The record is from RNAcentral.
AUUGAACGCUGGCGGCAUGCCUAACACAUGCAAGUCGAGCGGAGCGGCGGACGGGUGAGUAAUGCCUGGGAAUCUGCCUGGUAGUGGGGAAUAACGUCCGGAAACGGGCGCUAAUCCCGCAUCCUAUCAGAUGAGCCUAGGUCGGAUUAGCUAGUUGGUGGGGCAAUGGCCUACCAAGGCGACGAUCCGUAACUGGUCUGAGAGGAUGAUCAGUCAAACUGGAACUGAGACACGGUCCAGACUCCUACGGGAGGCAGCAGUGGGGAAUAUUGGACAAUGGGCGAAAGCCUGAUCGAGCAAUGCCGCGUGUGUGAAGAAGGUCUUCGGAUUGUAAAGCACUUUAAGUUGGGAGGCGUUACCAACAGAGUAAGCACCGGCUAACUACGUGCCAGCAGCCGCGGUAAUUC